UGGAAUGAUAGUUGCAGUUGCAGCACCUUUGUAAACCUCUUGGUAAAGAGCCAGUUUAGCUUUAGAAAUAUGGAAUCCUCUCCUGUUAUCAUGGCACAUAAAAGCAUAUGGUAGCAAUGGUAUGUCUAGUGAGAUUCCCCAGCAAGGAAGAGAGAGUGAUUAACAGAUAAAAAAAAUGGUUCCUAGCAGCAGAGCAAAGAGGCAGCAAGGAGGAGCUCAGACCACUGGGUAUGCUGGAUUUCCAGAAAAAUAACCUUGCACAAGCGUGGAAGCAAGAACUGAAUAAAGAUGAGAAAAUGAAGGACAAGGACAACAGGCAACUCAUGCCAGUGGUAGGGCAGGAGCUGCACCACAGAGAUAGCAGAGGAAGAUGCAGAAGGACCUUGGAAGAACUGCUUGUGUCUGAGAAUCUCACGACCUCAUGACGCAGAUUGGAACAGAACAGACCAGAUGGCAGGGUGAGAAGUGGACCUCAGGCAACAGGCUUUGGAGCAGAACUUAAAAAUGGAACAAGAACAUGGAAGAAAAGAGAAA
Mauremys mutica (yellowpond turtle) is the source of this 534-nucleotide long non-coding RNA. RefSeq lists it as uncharacterized. NCBI's taxonomy places the organism in Eukaryota, Metazoa, Chordata, Testudines, Geoemydidae. The transcript is spliced from 4 exons. The record is from RefSeq and is a predicted model, not a curated record.